Molecule: transfer RNA, 91 nt
Filed under: Chloroflexota bacterium
Lineage: Bacteria; Bacillati; Chloroflexota
Description: Chloroflexi bacterium tRNA-Ser
Rfam family: tRNA
About the family: Transfer RNA (tRNA) molecules are approximately 80 nucleotides in length. Their secondary structure includes four short double-helical elements and three loops (D, anti-codon, and T loops).
Source: RNAcentral
GGAGAGGUGCCAGAGUGGACGAUUGGGGCGCACUCGAAAUGCGCUGUGGCCUUACCGGUCACCGUGGGUUCGAAUCCCACCCUCUCCGCCA